RNAcentral lists this long non-coding RNA (442 nucleotides) under Homo sapiens (human). RNAcentral describes it as "HSALNT0298739". Lineage: Eukaryota; Metazoa; Chordata; Mammalia; Primates; Hominidae. The record is from RNAcentral.
UGCAGGCUGGAGCCCCUGGUCUGGAGCAAGCUGAAUACAGAUGAUUGAAGCAUGAGACGCAUGUUCGAGAAGCCAUGAUUAUUUCUAAAUACUACAAAUGUGGUGCUGAGUUCUCUGGCAUCUUUAUUAGAAGGCACGUGAUGUUGACCUGUCCCAUUACUGGUGAUGUUCUCUUUGAUCAAUUGGUCCUUGUUCAGCUGUUCAAGCUCCAGAACAAUUGUUGCAUAUCUCCGCUGAAAUUCAAUGCUGAUGGGCAUGGAAUAUGAUUUCUGAGAAGAGAAAAAAAUCAGAUCUUGUUAUCUCAGAAGAGGAUAUAUUAAUAGGAACUUCCAAAACUAAAAAACAAAGAGAACAAAGACUGAAAAAAUCAGCACAGAAUGUCCAAGGAUUGUGGGACAACUACAAAAGACGGAGUCUCGCUCUGUUGCCACUUGUGAUCUCG